Molecule: ribosomal RNA, 229 nt
Filed under: uncultured bacterium
Lineage: Bacteria
Description: partial 16S ribosomal RNA
Rfam family: Bacterial small subunit ribosomal RNA
Source: RNAcentral
GCGCAUGCAGGUGGUUUGUUAAGUCAGAUGUGAAAGCCCGGGGCUCAACCCUCGGAAUUGCAUUUGAAACUGGCAAACUAGAGUACUGUAGAGGGGGUAGAAUUUCAGGUGUAGCGGUGAAAUGCGUAGAGAUCUGAAGGAAUACCGGUGGCGAAGGCGGCCCCCUGGACAGAUACUGACACUCAGAUGCGAAAGCGUGGGGAGCAAACAGGAUUAGAUACCCUGGUAG